Molecule: ribosomal RNA, 624 nt
Filed under: Triticum aestivum (bread wheat)
Lineage: Eukaryota; Viridiplantae; Streptophyta; Magnoliopsida; Poales; Poaceae
Description: partial small subunit ribosomal RNA
Source: RNAcentral
AUGCGCAUCUCUUUGCCUUGGGACGUCGAUGUCUAUGCUACAAUGGGACGUCGUCGUCCCAGUGAAGCCGAGGAAAUCCCUAACGAGAUGCUACAGGAAAUCCUGAUGAAGCUGCCGACCAAGGACGUGGCCGAGUGCUGCUGCGUCUCCAGGCACUGGCGCAGCGCCCUCGGAGACCCCUCCUUCCGCAAGCUCCACGCAGCCAGCCCUGCCGCGCUCUCGGCAGAGCCCGAGUUCUUGCGCUUAUCCGGUGUGCCAUGCGGGCUCGGCCAGAGCGUCAAGACCAGUGUCUUCAGCUUAUCGUCGGACAAACCCAUGUGCACCAUCGCGAAGCCCGAAGGCCACAGCCUCGCCGACAUCUGCAACGGCCUCCUCUGCUUCGUGGACGGGUGCGACGCUCAUGCACCGGCGCUGGUGUGCAACCCCGCCACCGGCGAGACGCUGGCGCUUCCGGCGGCCCCUCCGCUCAACAACAAUGACCAUGCAUAUUUAUUUGCCUUUGGGUUCAGCCCGCCCACCAACGAGUACAAGCUGUUCCACCUCUCUUCCCCGCUAUGCUCCUACUCCGAAGAGCGGGUGGACGUGGACGUCUACACCUUGGGUGACGUCCGCGGGUGGAAAUGA